This 87-nucleotide transfer RNA is filed under the name Chlorobiota bacterium. Its description in RNAcentral is "tRNA-Ser". It matches the Rfam family "tRNA". From Rfam's summary of the family: Transfer RNA (tRNA) molecules are approximately 80 nucleotides in length. Their secondary structure includes four short double-helical elements and three loops (D, anti-codon, and T loops). Further hydrogen bonds mediate the characteristic L-shaped molecular structure. tRNAs have two regions of fundamental functional importance: the anti-codon, which is responsible for specific mRNA codon recognition, and the 3' end, to which the tRNAs corresponding amino acid is attached (by aminoacyl-tRNA synthetases). tRNAs cope with the degeneracy of the genetic code in two manners: having more than one tRNA (with a specific anti-codon) for a particular amino acid; and 'wobble' base-pairing, i.e. permitting non-standard base-pairing at the 3rd anti-codon position. RNAcentral also lists the same sequence under 2 other names. The record is from RNAcentral. Lineage: Bacteria; Pseudomonadati; Chlorobiota.
GGAGAGGUGGCAGAGUGGUUGAAUGCAACGGUCUUGAAAACCGUCGUACGUGCAAGCGUACCGAGAGUUCGAAUCUCUCCCUCUCCG